UACGUAGGGUGCAAGCGUUAAUCGGAAUUACUGGGCGUAAAGCGUGCGCAGGCGGUUGUGCAAGACAGAUGUGAAAUCCCCGGGCUUAACCUGGGAACUGCAUUUGUGACUGCACAGCUAGAGUGUGUCAGAGGGGGGUAGAAUUCCACGUGUAGCAGUGAAAUGCGUAGAUAUGUGGAGGAAUACCGAUGGCGAAGGCAGCCCCCUGGGAUAACACUGACGCUCAUGCACGAAAGCGUGGGGAGCAAACAGG
This 253-nucleotide ribosomal RNA is filed under the name uncultured bacterium. RNAcentral's name for it is "partial 16S ribosomal RNA". It matches the Rfam family "Bacterial small subunit ribosomal RNA", at positions 524 to 776 of the family's 1533-position model. The record is from RNAcentral.